UACGGGGGGGCAAGCGUUGUUCGGAAUUACUGGGCGUAAAGGGCGCGUAGGCGGUUUGCUAAGUCGGAUGUGAAAACUCUGGGCUCAACCCAGAGCCUGCAUCCGAAACUGGCAGGCUAGAGUUCUGGAGGGGGUAGCGGAAUUCCUGGUGUAGCGGUGAAAUGCGUAGAGAUCGGGAGGAACACCAGAGGCGAAGGCGGCUAGCUGGACAGUAACUGACACUCAACU
This 228-nucleotide ribosomal RNA is filed under the name uncultured prokaryote. RNAcentral's name for it is "partial 16S ribosomal RNA". It matches the Rfam family "Bacterial small subunit ribosomal RNA", at positions 524 to 752 of the family's 1533-position model. The record is from RNAcentral.